This 508-nucleotide ribosomal RNA is filed under the name uncultured bacterium. RNAcentral describes it as "partial 16S ribosomal RNA". It matches the Rfam family "Bacterial small subunit ribosomal RNA", at positions 28 to 523 of the family's 1533-position model. The record is from RNAcentral.
GACGAACGCUGGCGGCGCGCUUAACACAUGCAAGUCGAGCGAGAACCAGGGCUUCGGCCCUGGGGACAGCGGCGAACGGGUGAGUAACACGUGGGUAAUCCACCCUCGGCACCGGAAUAGCCCGGGGAAACCCGGAUUAAUGCCGGAUGGCCCGCCGGCCCCGAGGGGCUGGCGGAAAAGGUAGCUUCGGCCUCCGGCCGAGGACGAGCCCGCGACGGAUUAGCUUGUUGGGGGGGUAACGGCCUACCAAGGCUGCGAUCCGUAGCUGGUCUGAGAGGACGUUCAGCCACACUGGGACUGAGACACGGCCCAGACUCCUACGGGAGGCAGCAGUGGGGAAUCUUGCGCAAUGGGCGGAAGCCUGACGCAGCGACGCCGCGUGGGGGAAGAAGGCCUUCGGGUUGUAAACCUCUUUCAGGAGGGACGAAGCCACUCGGGUUAAAAGCCCAGAGGGUGACGGUACCUCCAGAAGAAGCCCCGGCUAACUACGUGACAGCCGCCGCCGUAA